AUGAAUAUAGACAUACUUUAAAAUAUAAUUUAUUUAUUUUAUUCUAUAUGUAGUCUAUAAUGAAAUCUUUAAAAAGACCUGAUGGGAGGUAGUACAUUGUCUCUCUUGCUAUAUUAACUCGGUUUAGUCUAAUGUUCACUCCAUCAUUUCUUUUCUCCACCGAUGUAUUGACCGCCAUGAGUCCAAUGAACAAAGCACCAGGCUCCACUGAUGUACGUGCGUUGCACGUGGGAGAUUUACUACUCGGGGCACGUACGUACCAAACGGCCCCAAAUUGAUGGGCGCGUAGCCAUUUGUGGGCGGG
RNAcentral lists this long non-coding RNA (304 nucleotides) under Hordeum vulgare. RNAcentral describes it as "long non-coding RNA (HVUL_LNC011763)". The record is from RNAcentral. Lineage: Eukaryota; Viridiplantae; Streptophyta; Magnoliopsida; Poales; Poaceae.